This 1263-nucleotide long non-coding RNA is filed under the name Ananas comosus (pineapple). Its description in RNAcentral is "long non-coding RNA (ACOM_LNC003013)". Lineage: Eukaryota; Viridiplantae; Streptophyta; Magnoliopsida; Poales; Bromeliaceae. The record is from RNAcentral.
GACUUAUACUUGAGUUUUUAGAAAAAAAGAAAUGCUCUGAAAACUCUUAUAUCUAUAAAUCUAUAAUCUAUAAACUACUAUUAAUCCUCAUGGCCUUAUGUUGAUGUGGCCUAACACCCUUAAUUUUGGGAUGUGGGUCCACUAAUUAUUAUAAUUAUUUUUUAAAAAAUUAAACUACUAUUAAUCCUUAUGGACUUAUACUUGAGUUUUUAGAAAAAAAGAAAUACUCUGAAAACUCUUAUAUUGAUAAUAAUAUAUAAUAUACUUUAUUCACAAUAAAUAAGCUAUAUUAUUUUAUCAAUAAUAUAUAAAGUAAUAUUUUUCAAGUUGGGCUAGAAUGCUAUUUAUAGUAUUUGCCUCCUUUUGCUAUCAAGUUUUUAGUCUUUGAAUCAAUCCCUUUCAUCAUUUUUAACCAUCGAAAAUAUUAUAACCUAGUGGAGACCACUCAACCCUGAGGGACUAUAAUAUCAUUCUAAUCUUACAAUUUUUCAUCAAAGGAUUAAAAACUUGAUAGCAAAAGAGCCAAAUAGUAUCAAUAGUAUUCCAGCCCAACUCAUAUUUUUCACUGAUCUUUUUAAUUAUUUUUUCUCAAAUUGGCUGGUUUUUUUUUUUUUUUUCUUUUUUCUCCAUUUUCUUUUCUGUUGAUUAAAGAUGGACCGUCAUCGUGAUGAAUGGUGCCCUUUGUCCGAUGCGUUGUCAUUUCGCCAUUUUUUCUACCAAUGGAUACUUCCCAUGGUUUGAAUAUAGACUGAAUUUAUACAUCAAGUAAAAAUAUUAAUUUUUUUCUUACAUUUUGUUUCCUGUUUGUUUAGUAGAUUACGUAAUUUCAGUUUUACAGUAACAUCUAUUUACUAUAAAGUUCGUGUUACUGUACUAUAUCUACUAAAAGAUUUGAAAAUGAUAUGUCUCUAAUCACUUAUCAUUUUUAUAAUAUUAUAGGACAUUAUUUCGAAGUCUCGCUUCAUCAAUAUAACUCGCUGCAAUAUGCGGGCCACUACACUAGUAUAUAUUAAAGGGUAUAGGAUUAGGCUUUGGGUUUGGGUUCCGGUUUGGGGUUUAGCGGAGCAUUUGUGAUAGAUUUAUGUAUUUACAGUGACAUGAAUAAUAUUUUAAAGUUUUAAAAGGUUACGUUUGAAAUUGUCUCCUUAUAAUUUAUAGCUCAUGGAGAACAAUAUGAAAGUUAGAAUAAAAAUAUUAAAAUUCAUAAAUAUUAUCAAACAUAAUUAAAAAUAUUUAUUAAAGGUAAAUGGUCAUUUGGUUGAA